Rosa rugosa (rugosa rose) is the source of this 232-nucleotide long non-coding RNA. RefSeq lists it as uncharacterized. The transcript has 3 exons. NCBI's taxonomy places the organism in Eukaryota, Viridiplantae, Streptophyta, Magnoliopsida, Rosales, Rosaceae. The record is from RefSeq and is a predicted model, not a curated record.
CCUUGUGUGUUGCUUGGAUUGGUUAAGGGCUGCCGGGAAGUCUCUAUUCAAAGAGCCAACCAAAACUGAACUUGAGGUCUACGGUGAAUUGGAGAAACUUGAGCAAGAUGUUGGAAUUACCAAUCUUUCGGAUAUUGAGGAGUGAUUCUGCAGAUCUGCUUGAUUAUGGUCGAUGGAAGGGAAGUAGUCAAGCUGAAGAAUGAAGAGGAGAAAGCCAAGCUGAAGUGUUGCU